This 1998-nucleotide long non-coding RNA is filed under the name Crocodylus porosus (Australian saltwater crocodile). Its description in RNAcentral is "lncRNA (ENSCPRG00005009569.1)". Lineage: Eukaryota; Metazoa; Chordata; Crocodylia; Crocodylidae. The record is from RNAcentral.
AAAAUAAUAAAAAUAUUUUGUGUAAUACUCUAUAGUCUCCAGAUAAUCCUGGAGCACCGAUUUGUAUAGCUGGAGGCUUAUUUUUAGAUCCUCCAGAGAGGAUAUGUGAAAAAGAGGGAGAGAAAAACAGAAAGAGAGAAAGAAAGAGCAAGUUAAACCACCAAAACUUCAUAAAACAGAUUUUUUAAAAUUGGCAUUGGUAAUGUAGAUCUGAAAGUAGAUUUACAAUCAAAAUAAGCUAAAUGUGAUACUAAGCCUUCCCCCUGAAAAAAAUAAAUAAUACAAUUGUCUGUUUGUUUGUUGUUAGCUCCUCCAAGAGGCUGAAAAUAUAUAAAAAUUGCUAAUAAAUGUUCUUGUGUUAAUUAAAUUGUAGAUGGAGAGUCAUGCUAGAAUAUGAUCCUCUACUCCAUCUAGGCACUAGAAAGGUUUCAUUAGGAGAAUGUACAAAAGGGAAUAUCCACCAAACUGUGAGCAGACCAUCAACUGGGCAACAGCAAGAAAAUGAGACACAUUGAUAUUUUGCCAGUAGUGGAUAAACAUCCUUAAGCCUUAGGGACCUUAACAAAAUGAAAUUGCUACAGUAGAUAAGAAAGUAUGGACUAGGUUAGUUCAUCCCCUCUGGGGAAAUAAAAAGAGAAACAAAAAGACAACAAGUCUACAGUCCAAGAUUGCCAGAAAAAGCUCCAAAUGGCAUGACCACAUCUAGGAGGGAUAGGAACCAAAUAUCAUCCUGAAGCAGAUGGUGCCAGAUCAACAGGGCAGUCUAUUAGACAGUGGAAGGACAGUACAGAACUAGACUAUGAGCAUGUGGCAAGGAUUGGGGAAACUGGCAGCUUGUAAACAAAAUAGACAAUUAAAUGAAGAAAUAUGGCAUAUCAGCAUCUGAACUCCAAGUGGAUGAAGAGAGGGGAAAAAGACCCAGAGAAACAAGCAGAAGUGCUGUCAUGAUGCUGGAAAAAAAGACAAUGAAAAGAGACUUGAAGGACACAAGAAGAUAAGAGGAACCACAGUGAACGAGAGAAGAAAGUGAGGGAUGGAAGAAAGACAACGAAGAAGGGCAGAAAUAGAGCAAAGGGUACAUUGAGGAUGGGACAAUGGGCCUACAUUUUAUUGAGGCUAAAAGUAAUUUUUCUAACGGAUAUUCAAAAGUGGCUGUCAGACAAAGCAGAAUAUUUUCUUGAUUUUGUGUUAAAGAUAUAGGCUGAGUAGACACAAUCAUCUCAAUGAUUUGUGAAUGAUUUAUGAUAUGAAUAAUCAUAGACAAGUGCAGGGUGAAAGUGGGAAAUAUUGUGCAGUCACUAUUGUGCUAUUUUUGUAAUAUACAGCUCAGCUAGAAAAGUCCAUUAAGUUUAAGCAUGUUAGAGAAACAAAAUCUCUAGAAGACUCAAGCAUUUUGGGUCAAAUUUCUUUUCACCAGUGUUAUUUUUUAAAUAUUUCUCCCAUUUUCAGUCUAUUGGAAAAUGUCUUUUCUCCCACAGUGUGAAGGCUAGAUCCUCAGCAUGUAUAAAUUAACAUUGUAUUCAAUGAAGUUUGCCAAUCACCAAUGGAGAAUCUGGCCUUAUGCUCUGAAGUAGCUAACAAUUUUCAAACAAAGCCAUCCUGUCUUUCCUUCACUUAAUUUUUUCUAGAGUUCAGCUGCUAAAUGCCUUAGAGCUUUGAAUAUGAAUAUGAUAAGUAUAUGAACAGUAAGAAAAGCAAGUGUCCACGAGCAGUUGAAAGGGGACAGCUUAAUCUUUGGAACUGCUCACACUAGAGAAUUUUGGUCUCCAUUCACAACACUAGGUUAAGAGCCUGGAGUACUUGUAAAAAACUUCAUAUUCAAACACAAGUGCUAAUAUUUCAGAAGUGUUCCUCAUUUCAGUAUGAUUACACUAACUCCAAGCUAGUUGCCUUGGUGCUUCAGCUGACAAAAGUUCCCAGGUAACAUAGAAAGCUUGCAUUGCAAGUUUCUCACCUUUGCCAGUUCAGUUGGCCCUACCUAGUUUCAUAGUAGCUAGG